RNAcentral lists this ribosomal RNA (498 nucleotides) under uncultured bacterium. Its description in RNAcentral is "bacterial SSU rRNA". It matches the Rfam family "Bacterial small subunit ribosomal RNA", at positions 29 to 528 of the family's 1533-position model. The record is from RNAcentral.
AGCGAACGUUGGCGGCGCGCCUAACACAUGCAAGUCGAACGCGAAAAGUCUUCGGACUGAGUAGAGUGGCGCACGGGUGAGUAACACGUGAGUAAUCUGCCCUUGGGACUGGGAUAACAUUCCGAAAGGAGUGCUAAUACCGGAUAAGACCACGCCCUCUGCGGAGGGUGUGAGAAAAUGACGGGGAUCCGCAAGGACCUGCCACCCAAGGAUGAGCUCGCGGCCUAUCAGCUAGUUGGCGGGGUAACGGCCCACCAAGGCGAAGACGGGUAGCUGGUCUAAGAGGAUGAUCAGCCACACUGGAACUGAGACACGGUCCAGACUCCUACGGGAGGCAGCAGUGGGGAAUUUUGCGCAAUGGGCGAAAGCCUGAUCCAGCAAUGCCGCGUGAGUGAAGAAGGUCUUCGGAUUGUAAAGCUCUUUCGACGGGGACGAUGAUGACGGUACCCGUAGAAGAAGCCCCGGCUAACUUCGUGCCAGCAGCCGCGGUAAAGUCGU